CUAAGCUUGUGUGAAGGAAACUAACAUUCUAAUUAAGAAUGAACAUAAAAGCGAUAUCUAUAUUAUUGUUCAUCACCGGAAUCGAACCACAAUUCCUGCCAGGGUACAUCAAACUUCUCCCGCCGCUGACCGAGAAGAUGCCGUGCGAGAAGUGCCCCAACGUUUACUUCCCUGUCUGCGCCUCCAACAACAAGACUUAUAUUAACAACUGUCAGUUUGUCUGCAAGGGAUUUAAUGAGAGCAUCUAUGUUAUAAGACGAGGUGUUUGUAUUUUUUUCUAAAGCAAUAAAAAG
Molecule: long non-coding RNA, 293 nt
Organism: Manduca sexta (tobacco hornworm)
Lineage: Eukaryota; Metazoa; Arthropoda; Insecta; Lepidoptera; Sphingidae
Exons: 2
Source: RefSeq, a predicted model, not a curated record